CCCUAGAAAAGAGACGGUUAAGAACGCAUGUGAGAAGAAAAUCUAGAGGGCUCUGGAGUUGCCAGAGAGCCCUCGGGAAAGAACAUGAUCUCCAGUCUGAGGUGACCGGAAAAUGCUUAAAAAAAUUCCCUGCUCCUCCCCCCGCAUACACUCUUCCAUCCCAGUAUUCGACAGACAGACAUCAUACAAACGAAGUGAACGUUAAGACGACCUGGCAACUUCUACACGGAAUUUAGGGGUCGUUUUCGAAGCAGCAGAAGGGGAGCAAUGUUUUUAUGUGGUCGUGGUUCUUUAACAUUAGGACUGCACACUGUUCUCAAGAAAAGGACAGAGACAGGGGCUCUUCAAAGGCAUCCGUCCAAUUGUUUUUACAAGACCGACUUUCAGAAGGCAGUCACUCCGGAGCUUGCUUUCCUCAGGCGGUGAACAGGAAACGCCUUGUAGAACCCUAGCUGGAGUCGAACACUUUCCAUAACAGGAUGUAUAUUGCGAGGAUGCGCCCCUGACUUCAGGGAUAAAGCUAAUUUCUUUCAACGACACUUUAAAAAGCAAUUUUUUUUAAAGCAUCCGGCCUGGACGGUGGAAGACGCCCCAGGGCCCAGAUGGAGCAGGAAGAUUAGGGUUGCCAGAGGCGGAUGGGAAACCUUCGAGGCCCCCCCCUCCCCCGCCCAUCCCCGCCAACGGCCCCGCAGCGCCGCGGAGAUCUCCGCAGUUCUGCAGGUGCCAGCACAGCAGCUGGAGCUCGAGCCGGGCCGAGCGGGGCGGCGGCUUCGGGUCCCGCGCGGCGCUCGCCCGCCCCGCCCCCACCGGCCGCUCCCUGCGCCGCGCGGGCUCGGCCCACACAGCGCGCCGCCCGCCCGCCCGCCCGCCCGCCCGCGCGCCCCCUGGAUCCCGGCACGCGGAGGACGCGGGCUGACUGCGGCGCCGGCGCUCGCCCCAGGGCCCCGCGCGCUCCUCCCGCCCCCUGGGCGCAUGGCGGCCGCAAGCGAACAAAGGCGCUUCCUGGCGCCCGCACUAACCGUCCGUUGGGGGGUUUGAAUCCGGCCCCAGUUUGACCUUUCUAGACGUCAGACAGAAAGCUCUCUGCGCUCCCUCUCUCCCUUCCUUCACUUUCUCGCCUUCCUGUGCACUGGGCUGUCGCUCAUCCCGGACCCAACCUCCUCCAGCCAAGCCCCCGAGGAGCUCCUCCACCUCGGGAACUGUGCGUCCGGCCCUCAACUCACUAGAGGAAGCCCCCCUGAGGAGAAUGGGGGUGGGGGAGCACCUGCGACACAACCGUCGCGGGCAUCCCUGGCCUCUUUCGCGCCAUCCCUCUGGCAGAAACCACUCCUUGAAGGUGUAAGGGAGGCGAGUUUCCUUUCUUUAGUCAAUUCGCUCCAGUUUCUCCCCUCCACAGGCCCAGCGGCGGCAGCUCAGCGAUGCACUCACCAUGCUGCAAGCGCUACCGGUUUCCGAGACGCGACCACACAACCAGUCAGCUCGCUCGCUCCACUCGGACUAAUUCUCCUCCUCCGCCCCCAGCGCCUCAUAAACACCUCCCUCCAACAGAUCCCUCCGCCGCAUCCAGAUAACGGAACAUCGCAAACGAGUCCCGGCCAACCCCCUCCCCUCAAACUCUUCGCGGGACCCCUUUCUUCACAGUUAUUUGGUCGAUGAGGCAAGAAAUCAAGGAAAGUGGACGAACGGAUGACGUAAGUGGGUUUUAUUUCCCAGCGAGCCGUUAAAAGGCCGGUGGAGCGGCUCCUGAGGGGCGCUACUUUGCGGCGCGGAAGAGCAUCGUGGCGGCGAUGCGUAUCCCGAUGGUCGUUGAGUCGACCUCUGAUUGGCUGGUUUGUACCUGCAAUGCGUCACUCGAGCUCGCAGCCGCCGCUGGGACGGUGCGGCUUCUGGCGUUGCUGCUCCGGCCGCGCUGUCCUGGUAACUGCGCCAGGCGGAGAGUCGCUGGAUUUGCGCUUGGCUGGAGAACCUUCCUCUUCCACCUAUCCUUCCCUGCCACACUCAUGCACUUUCCCGCCCCUUAUUGAGGGGUAGACGAAAACACCUUAAGCCGAUAAAGAAUGAAGCUGAAAGAUUCCGAUAAACACGAACCCUGAACAGCUUUUUAGCCUAGUGUUUUGGCCUCAUGGAAGCCGCACGUUUUUCAUUUCACCCACUCACAAAACCCAUGUAAAUCUGGAUACAGGCAAAUGUAGCUGUUCAGCUGACAGGCUAA
Non-coding RNA from Macaca mulatta (Rhesus monkey), 2212 nucleotides. The record is from RefSeq and is a predicted model, not a curated record. Lineage: Eukaryota; Metazoa; Chordata; Mammalia; Primates; Cercopithecidae.